RNAcentral lists this ribosomal RNA (1490 nucleotides) under Salmonella enterica subsp. enterica serovar Bareilly str. CFSAN001088. Its description in RNAcentral is "bacterial LSU rRNA". It matches the Rfam family "Bacterial large subunit ribosomal RNA", at positions 1 to 1524 of the family's 2925-position model. Lineage: Bacteria; Pseudomonadati; Pseudomonadota; Gammaproteobacteria; Enterobacterales; Enterobacteriaceae. The record is from RNAcentral.
GGGUUGUGAGGUUAAGCGACUAAGCGUACACGGUGGAUGCCCUGGCAGUCAGAGGCGAUGAAGGGCGUGCUAAUCUGCGAUAAGCGCCGGUAAGGUGAUAUGAACCGUUAUAACCGGCGAUACCCGAAUGGGGAAACCCAGUGUGAUUCGUCACACUAUCAUUAACUGAAUCCAUAGGUUAAUGAGGCGAACCGGGGGAACUGAAACAUCUAAGUACCCCGAGGAAAAGAAAUCAACCGAGAUUCCCCCAGUAGCGGCGAGCGAACGGGGAGGAGCCCAGAGCCUGAAUCAGCAUGUGUGUUAGUGGAAGCGUCUGGAAAGGCGCGCGAUACAGGGUGACAGCCCCGUACACAAAAGCGCAUGUGCUGUGAGCUCGAUGAGUAGGGCGGGACACGUGGUAUCCUGUCUGAAUAUGGGGGGACCAUCCUCCAAGGCUAAAUACUCCUGACUGACCGAUAGUGAACCAGUACCGUGAGGGAAAGGCGAAAAGAACCCCGGCGAGGGGAGUGAAAAAGAACCUGAAACCGUGUACGUACAAGCAGUGGGAGCACAGGUUUACCUGUGUGACUGCGUACCUUUUGUAUAAUGGGUCAGCGACUUAUAUUCUGUAGCAAGGUUAACCGUAUAGGGGAGCCGGAGGGAAACCGAGUCUUAACCGGGCGUUAAGUUGCAGGGUAUAGACCCGAAACCCGGUGAUCUAGCCAUGGGCAGGUUGAAGGUUGGGUAACACUAACUGGAGGACCGAACCGACUAAUGUUGAAAAAUUAGCGGAUGACCUGUGGCUGGGGGUGAAAGGCCAAUCAAACCGGGAGAUAGCUGGUUCUCCCCGAAAGCUAUUUAGGUAGCGCCUCGUGAAUUCAUCUCCGGGGGUAGAGCACUGUUUCGGCUAGGGGGCCAUCCCGGCUUACCAACCCGAUGCAAACUGCGAAUACCGGAGAAUGUUAUCACGGGAGACACACGGCGGGUGCUAACGUCCGUCGUGAAGAGGGAAACAACCCAGACCGCCAGCUAAGGUCCCAAAGUCAUGGUUAAGUGGGAAACGAUGUGGGAAGGCCCAGACAGCCAGGAUGUUGGCUUAGAAGCAGCCAUCAUUUAAAGAAAGCGUAAUAGCUCACUGGUCGAGUCGGCCUGCGCGGAAGAUGUAACGGGGCUAAACCAUGCACCGAAGCUGCGGCAGCGACGUUUAUGCGUUGUUGGGUAGGGGAGCGUUCUGUAAGCCUGUGAAGGUGUGUCGUGAGGCAUGCUGGAGGUAUCAGAAGUGCGAAUGCUGACAUAAGUAACGAUAAAGCGGGUGAAAAGCCCGCUCGCCGGAAGACCAAGGGUUCCUGUCCAACGUUAAUCGGGGCAGGGUGAGUCGACCCCUAAGGCGAGGCCGAAAGGCGUAGUCGAUGGGAAACGGGUUAAUAUUCCCGUACUUGGUGUUACUGCGAAGGGGGGACGGAGAAGGCUAUGUUGGCCGGGCGACGGUUGUCCCGGUUUAAGCGUGUAGG